Hypanus sabinus (Atlantic stingray) is the source of this 1575-nucleotide long non-coding RNA. RefSeq lists it as uncharacterized. The transcript is spliced from 3 exons. The record is from RefSeq and is a predicted model, not a curated record. Lineage: Eukaryota; Metazoa; Chordata; Chondrichthyes; Myliobatiformes; Dasyatidae.
GGUACUCACUCCGAUCAUUACCUCCCCUCCCCGAUCCCAGCUAGGUACUCACUCCGAUCAUUACCUCCCUCCCCGAUCCCAGCUAGGUACUCACUCCGAUCAUUACCGCCCCUCCCCGAUCCCAGCUAGGUACUCACUCCGAUUAUUACCUCCCCUCCCCGAUCCCAGCUAGGUACUCACUCCGAUCAUUACCUCCCCUACCCCGAUCCCAGCUAGGUACUCACUCCGAUUAUUACCUCCCCUCCCUGAUCCCAGCUAGGUACUCACUCCGAUCAUUACCUCCCCUACCCCGAUCCCAGCUAGGUACUCACUCCGAUCAUUACCUCCCCUACCCCGAUCCCAGCUAGGUACUCACGUCGAUCAUUACCUCCCCUCCCCGAUCCCAGCUAGGUACUCACUCCGAUCAUUACCUCCCCUCCCCAAUCCCAGCUAGGUACUCACUCCGAUCAUUACCUCCCCUCCCCGAUCCCAGCUAGGUACUCACUCCGAUCAUUACCUCCCCUACCCGAUCCCAGCUAGGUACUCACUCCGAUCAUUACCUCCCCUCCCCGAUCCCAGCUAGGUACUCACUCCGAUCAUUACAACCCCUCCCCGAUCCCAGCUAGGUACUCACUCCGAUCAUUACCUCCCCUACCCCGAUCCCAGCUAGGUACUCACUCCGAUCAUUACCUCCCCUACCCGAUCCCAGCUAGGUACUCACUCCGAUCAUUACCUCCCCUCCCCGAUCCCAGCUAGGUACUCACGUCGAUCAUUACCUCCCCUCCCCGAUCCCAGCUAGGAACUCACUCCGAUCAUUACCUCCCCUACCCCGAUCUCAGCUAGGUACUCACUCCGAUCAUUACCUCCCCUCCCCGAUCCCAGCUAGGUACUCACUCCGAUCAUUACCUCCCUCCCCGAUCCCAGCUAGGUACUCACUCCGAUCAUUACCGCCCCUCCCCGAUCCCAGCUAGGUACUCACUCCGAUUAUUACCUCCCCUCCCCGAUCCCAGCUAGGUACUCACUCCGAUCAUUACCUCCCCUACCCCGAUCCCAGCUAGGUACUCACGUCGAUCAUUACCUCCCCUCCCCGAUCCCAGCUAGGUACACACUCCGAUCAUUACCUCCCCUACCCCGAUCCCAGCAAGGUACUCACUCCGAUCAUUACCUCCCCUACCCCGAUCCCAGCUAGGUACUCACUCCGAUCAUUACCUCCCCUACCCCGAUCCCAGCUAGGUACUCACUCCGAUCAUUACCUCCCCUCCCCGAUCCCAGCUAGGUACUCACUCCGAUCAUUACCUCCCCUCCCCGAUCCCAGCUAGGUACUCACUCCGAUCAUUACCUCCCCUACCCCGAUCCCAGCUAGGUACUCACUCCGAUCAUUACCUCCCCUACCCCGAUCCCAGCUAGGUACUCACUCCGAUCAUUACCUCCACUACCCCGAUCCCAGCUAGGUACUCACUCCGAUCAUUACCUCCACUACCCCGAUCCCAGCUAGGUACUCACUCCGAUCAUUACCUCCACUACCCCGAUCCCAGCUAGGUACUCACUCCGAUCAUUACCUCCCCUCCCCGAUCCCAGCUAGGUACUCACUCCGAU